CCCAACUAUCCCUAUUAAUCAUUACGGUGAUCCUAGAAACCAACAAAAUAGAAUCAUGCCGUCCUAUUUUAUUAUUCCAUGCUAAUGUAUUCAAGCAAAAUGCCUGCUUUAAACACUCUAAUUUUUUCAAAGUAAAGGUCCUGGUUCCCCGCGACACCCAAUUAAGGGCAUCGCGGUUCUCCAGAAGGUGAGAAAUUGACUACACCAGUUCAUACCCCUUAAGGCACGACCGAUGUGUCAAUCCCGAAAUUCAACUACGAGCUUUUUAACUGCAACAACUUUAAUAUACGCUAUUGGAGCUGGAAUUACCGCGGCUGCUGGCACCAGACUUGCCCUCCAA
This 340-nucleotide unclassified non-coding RNA is filed under the name uncultured Glomerales. RNAcentral describes it as "sequence contains 18S rRNA gene". RNAcentral also lists the same sequence under 1 other name. The record is from RNAcentral. Lineage: Eukaryota; Fungi; Glomeromycota; Glomeromycetes; Glomerales; Glomeraceae.